RNAcentral lists this ribosomal RNA (465 nucleotides) under Vreelandella stevensii. RNAcentral describes it as "partial 16S ribosomal RNA". It matches the Rfam family "Bacterial small subunit ribosomal RNA", at positions 338 to 795 of the family's 1533-position model. The record is from RNAcentral. Lineage: Bacteria; Pseudomonadati; Pseudomonadota; Gammaproteobacteria; Oceanospirillales; Halomonadaceae.
CCUACGGGAGGCAGCAGUGGGGAAUAUUGGACAAUGGGCGAAAGCCUGAUCCAGCCAUGCCGCGUGUGUGAAGAAGGCCUUCGGGUUGUAAAGCACUUUCAGUGGGGAAGAAAGCCUUGGGGCUAAUACCCUCGAGGAAGGACAUCACCCACAGAAGAAGCACCGGCUAACUCCUUGCCAGCAGCCGCGGUAAUACGGAGGGUGCGAGCGUUAAUCGGAAUUACUGGGCGUAAAGCGCGCGUAGGCGGUCUGAUAAGCCGGUUGUGAAAGCCCCGGGCUCAACCUGGGAACGGCAUCCGGAACUGUCAGGCUAGAGUGCAGGAGAGGAAGGUAGAAUUCCCGGUGUAGCGGUGAAAUGCGUAGAGAUCGGGAGGAAUACCAGUGGCGAAGGCGGCCUUCUGGACUGACACUGACGCUGAGGUGCGAAAGCGUGGGUAGCAAACAGGAUUAGAUACCCGUGUAGUC